CCAAUGUGGAGAUUGUUAACAGCGUGGGCUGGAAACAUGUUACAAUGAGAGACCAGAAAUAAGUCAGGAUCAAGGAGCGAAGCACAACUUCAUCUGGAAGCUGCUGGUGAUGAGAUGCUCCUUGAUCCACAGCUGAUCCAGAUGGAGGUUCAGGGCGAAUGUCUCCCUGUGCUCGUCCUGGGUCCUUCCAUGGACCUGGACUGGUCACGACAAAGCAGCACGGAAAAGACACAAGGACAAAGAAACUUUUCACUGCUCUGUGGGUGAGAGAGCUGUGAGCUGAACCUUCAUCGUCAUCCUGGUUUGGCAACUGUACGGCACUGUGUUGGCAAAGCAGAGAGCCAGGAUGCCUUUAGUUCCACUAGAACGAGCCAGCGUGUUCAUCCUGGAAAUGGCAUUUGAUCAAUACGUAAACCGAGGUAAUGGAAAUGACGUGACCAGUGUCAUGCAACUGCUCAACACUGAGUUGGAAUUAGGCAGAAACAGAGUUGUUGAAACUGUAGCAUUUUGAUCUUCACCUUUCACUGAUGCUGAUCAUGUGACAAACGUCACCUUUCUACUGUGCGUUUGUCAUGUGAGUCAUAAAAUAAAGUGUGUAUUGUCUCUCAUAUGCAGAAGUUCAGGGGAAAAUAUGUACCUUCACAUGUUUUAAUUAUUAAAAAAUCUGUCUAUUAAAACACAAUAGAUUAUGACAACAAAGUUUACAAAUGAAAUAGAAAUAUUUCCCGUCUGUCGUUUGCUCUGGAAGAUCUUUAAAAAAACAAACAGAGUAAAGCAUAUUAAUGAGCAACAAACGCCACAAUAAACAAUCAGAACAUUCAAUAUAACGUGGUUCUUCUUUUGCUAGACAUGUUCACAUUAAAAACAAGUGACUUCAUUUGUGUGUUUUAGUACAAAACAGAGAGCUGAAAAUGUUUCACAGUUUCUUCACCGUCCUU
This is a long non-coding RNA of Betta splendens (Siamese fighting fish), 938 nucleotides long. RefSeq lists it as uncharacterized. The transcript is spliced from 2 exons. The record is from RefSeq and is a predicted model, not a curated record. NCBI's taxonomy places the organism in Eukaryota, Metazoa, Chordata, Actinopteri, Anabantiformes, Osphronemidae.